AUUGAACGCUGGCGGCAGGCCUAACACAUGCAAGUCGGACGGUAGCACAGAGAGCUUGCUCUUGGGUGACGAGUGGCGGACGGGUGAGUAAUGUCUGGGGAUCUGCCCGAUAGAGGGGGAUAACCACUGGAAACGGUGGCUAAUACCGCAUAACGUCGCAAGACCAAAGAGGGGGACCUUCGGGCCUCUCACUAUCGGAUGAACCCAGAUGGGAUUAGCUAGUAGGCGGGGUAAUGGCCCACCUAGGCGACGAUCCCUAGCUGGUCUGAGAGGAUGACCAGCCACACUGGAACUGAGACACGGUCCAGACUCCUACGGGAGGCAGCAGUGGGGAAUAUCGCACAAUGGGCGCAAGCCUGAUGCAGCCAUGCCGCGUGUAUGAAGAAGGCCUUCGGGUUGUAAAGUACUUUCAGCGGGGAGGAAGGCGGUGCGGUUAAUAACCGUACCGAUUGACGUUACCCGCAGAAGAAGCACCGGCUAACUCCGUGCCAGCCGCCGCAGUAA
Molecule: ribosomal RNA, 504 nt
Filed under: uncultured bacterium
Lineage: Bacteria
Description: partial 16S ribosomal RNA
Rfam family: Bacterial small subunit ribosomal RNA
Source: RNAcentral